Musa acuminata AAA Group (dessert banana) is the source of this 1607-nucleotide long non-coding RNA. RefSeq lists it as uncharacterized. The transcript has 3 exons. The record is from RefSeq and is a predicted model, not a curated record. NCBI's taxonomy places the organism in Eukaryota, Viridiplantae, Streptophyta, Magnoliopsida, Zingiberales, Musaceae.
CAGGAUGAUAUAUUUCGACUCGUCGGGCUUCCAUUGGUGGAGAAAUGCUUGGCCGGGUUCAACAGUUCCAUAUUUGCGUAUGGGCAGACUGGUAGUGGAAAGACGUAUACGAUGUGGGGACCUCCGAGCGCUGUCCGAAGAUUCUUCGAGUAGUGAGUGGGGUUUGACUCCACGUGUUUUUGAGCGGUUUUUUUCUCGCAUAAAUGAAGUUGGUAGUCUAUGCAGUCCUGCUCAACAUGGUAUUUUAGAUCCACUCAUGCUUACAGGAUUAUAUAUGUCUUAGGAGCAACCUAAGCAUUCCGACAAGCAGCUGAAUUACCAGUGUCAUUGUUCCUUUCUGGAGGCAAGUGUGCUGAUGCUACCUUCAAAUCAUGUACUUCUUGGUUGGUUGGUUUUUUAGUUUUUAAUCUGUCUGAUUGUUGAGAUUACAGACCUCCAAUGAGCAAAUUACUGAUCUUUUGGACCCAACACAAAAGAAUCUUCAGAUUAGGGAAGAUGUUAAAGCUGGCAUUUAUGUUGACUGUUUGACAGAGGAGUAUGUGUAUACAAUGAAGGAUGUAAUCCGUCUGCUGACAAAGGUCCAUUGAUUCUCUUCUUUUCCAAGUCAUAUUUUGUAGUUUGUGAUCAAUUAAUAUUUCUCAAAGAACUUUUUAGGAGUUAUGUUCAGGAUUAUUGGCUCAACAGAAAAAAUGUUCAAAUUGUAAAUAAGAGUAAUCUUUUAUCCAUUCGUUAUAGAAUACUUUGAAAACACCAACAUAACUUUUUCUUUGUUUUAUUUUGUAGAUAUCGUUUUAUAUGAAAAGUUGCAAUUUUCAUGUGCAUGCUUGUGGUGUCUUGAUGAGAACAAGUGUGACUGUGUGUGCAUGUGCAUGAAUGUGUCUGUAUGUGCAUGUGCAUGAAUGUGUCUGUAUGUGCAUGCUCAUUUGUGUGCAUGUGUUGUCCCAUACAGCACUAAUGAAAAUUUUUCUCAUUUGAUUUUUUUAACUAUUGAUAGUUGAAUUAUCCGUUUUAUGAUGUUUAUAAGUCCCUUCUUGAAGAAUAAUGCUUUUGUUAAAGCUACUUCUAGCAUGCAGUUUUGUCUUUUCAUGCAAAAGUUCUAUUAUGUAGAAUUAGAAUUAGUUGAGCUAGUGUCAUGGAAAAUCCAUUUGCCAUUGAGAUUUGACAUUCUGGUUUCUAUCUUAUUAUCUUCUAUGGUUUUGUAUAUUUAUUACUUUUGUUUGAUUGUUUGACACAGCUUCUUCUUUAACCAUUUUGCAAGUUCCUGGAUGCUUAGCAUAGACUCGUGGCAUGGCUAUUCUUAUUUUUUCUUUAUGGAUAUGAUAUCUGCAAAUGAUAUGCAUAUUUACAACUCCUCAAUUGCUUUUCUGGGAUUAGCAAACAGGCGAACAGGUGCAACCAGCGUAAAUAUGGAGAGUUCCCGUUCUCACUGCGUAUUUACUUGCAUUGUUGAUUCCCAGUCAAAGGUAGUAAAUUGUGUUAACAAUCAAAGUUCACUUGGAGAUGAAGAUUUCAUUAUGAUGUUAACAGAUUAAGAAAUCAUAUAAAUAUAUGUAGGUCAAACGGUAGCUUCCUUAUUCAACAGUGAAACUUUUGUCAAUUAUUUGCAA